CCUUUAAAGAGUGCGUAACAGCUCACUAGUCGAGUGACCCUGCGCCGAAAAUGUACCGGGGCUAAGCCUGAUACCGAAACUGCGGAUUGUAGGAAACUAUAGUGGUAGGGGAGCGUUGUAUACGAGCAGAAGCCGUACCGUGAGGAGCGGUGGAUUGUAUAGAAGUGAGAAUGCCGGUGUGAGUAGCGAGAUGUAGGUGAGAAUCCUACACACCGAAAGCCCAAGGAUUCCAGGGGAAGGUUCGUCCGCCCUGGGUAAGUCGGGACCUAACGCGAGGCCGAAAGGCGUAGUGGAUGGAAAGCAGGCGAAAGAUUCCUGCACCCGUAUAUGGAGCGAAGGAGUGACGGAGACGGAUAGUGUGACCCUCUUAAUGGAUUGAGGGCGAAGCGAAGCGGCUGGUUACCAGGCAAAUCCGGUAACCAUAAGGCUAGAGCGUGACAGGUAAGCGAAAUCUUCGGAAAGUAGCGAAGCACAUGAUGACGGCUUCCAGGAAAAGCUUCUGGCAAUGCAUAUGCGGCCCGUACCAAAACCGACACAGGUGGGCAGGGAGAGAAUCCCGAGGUGAGCGAGAGAACUGUUGCCAAGGAACUCGGCAAAAUGACUCCGUAAGUUAGCGAGAAGGAGUGCUUAAGCAAUUAAGCCGCAGUGAAGAGGCCCAAGCGACUGUUUAACUAAAACACAGCUCUCUGCGAAGUCGCAAGACGAAGUAUAGGGGGUGACACCUGCCCGGUGCUGGAAGGUUAAGAGGAUCUGUUAAGAGCGAUCUGAAGCAGUGAUCCGAAGCCCCAGUGAACGGCGGCCGUAACUAUAACGGUCCUAAGGUAGCGAAAUUCCUUGUCAGGUAAGUUCUGACCCGCACGAAAGGUGUAACGAUUUGGGCGCUGUCUCGGCAGCAGACUCGGUGAAAUCUUAGUACCUGUGAAAAUGCAGGUUACCCGCAACUAGACGGAAAGACCCCAUGGAGCUUUACUGCAGCCUGAUAUUGAAUUCUGGUCAUACAUGUACAGGAUAGGUGGGAGACAAAGAGACGUGCACGCCAGUGUACGAGGAGUCGACGUUGGGAUACCACUCUUGUGUGACCGGGGUUCUAACCUGGUAUCGAGAACAGGUACGGGGAGAGUGUCAGGUGGGCAGUUUGACUGGGGCGGUCGCCUCCCAAAGAGUAACGGAGGCGCCCAAAGGUACGCUCAGAUUGGAUGGAAACCAAUCGUCGAGUGCAAUUGCAGAAGCGUGCUUGACUGUGAGACAGACAAGUCGAACAGGGACGAAAGUCGGGAAUAGUGAUCCGGCGGUGCCGAAUGGAAGGGCCGUCGCUCAACGGAUAAAAGCUACCCUGGGGAUAACAGGCUGAUCUCGCCCAAGAGUUCACAUCGACGGCGAGGUUUGGCACCUCGAUGUCGGCUCAUCGCAUCCUGGAGCUGGAUUCGGUUCCAAGGGUUGGGCUGUCCGCCCAUUAAAGCGGUACGCGAGCUGGGUUCAGAACGUCGUGAGACAGUUCGGUCCCUAUCUGUUGUGGGCGAAGGAGAUCUGCGGAGAGCUGUCCUCAGUACGAGAGGACCGGGAUGGACCUACCGCUGGUGCACCGGUUGUUCCGCCAGGGGCAUAGCCGGGUAGCUAAGUAGGGAAAGGAUAAGCGCUGAAAGCAUCUAAGCACGAAGCCUACUCCAAGAUGAGAUCUCCCAUUCGCAAGAAGUAAGACCCCUUAAAGACGAUAAGGUAGAUAGGCCAGGGAUGGAAGUGCAGUGAUGUACGGAGUUGACUGGUACUAAUCGGUCGAGGACUUAAUCAG
RNAcentral lists this ribosomal RNA (1789 nucleotides) under human gut metagenome. RNAcentral's name for it is "bacterial LSU rRNA". It matches the Rfam family "Bacterial large subunit ribosomal RNA", at positions 1120 to 2925 of the family's 2925-position model. The record is from RNAcentral.